GAUGAUCGCUGGCGGCGUGCCUAAUACAUGCAAGUCGAGCGAACGGACGAGAAGCUUGCUUCUCUGAUGUUAGCGGCGGACGGGUGAGUAACACGUGGAUAACCUACCUAUAAGACUGGGAUAACUUCGGGAAACCGGAGCUCAUACCGGAUAAUAUUUUGAACCGCAUGGUUCAAAAGUGAAAGACGGUCUUGCUGUCACUUAUAGAUGGAUCCGCGCUGCAUUAGCUAGUUGGUAAGGUAACGGCUUACCAAGGCAACGAUGCAUAGCCGACCUGAGAGGGUGAUCGGCCACACUGGAACUGAGACACGGUCCAGACUCCUACGGGAGGCAGCAGUAGGGAAUCUUCCGCAAUGGGCGAAAGCCUGACGGAGCAACGCCGCGUGAGUGAUGAAGGUCUUCGGAUCGUAAAACUCUGUUAUUAGGGAAGAACAUAUGUGUAAGUAACUGUGCACAUCUUGACGGUACCUAAUCAGAAAACCACGGCUAACUACGUG
This 497-nucleotide ribosomal RNA is filed under the name uncultured bacterium. Its description in RNAcentral is "partial 16S ribosomal RNA". It matches the Rfam family "Bacterial small subunit ribosomal RNA", at positions 28 to 507 of the family's 1533-position model. The record is from RNAcentral.